This 727-nucleotide ribosomal RNA is filed under the name Analges berlesei. RNAcentral describes it as "partial large subunit ribosomal RNA". The record is from RNAcentral. Lineage: Eukaryota; Metazoa; Arthropoda; Arachnida; Sarcoptiformes; Analgidae.
GAUUUCUUAAAUAUUUUUAUUUUUAAAAUUUUUUCUAAAUAUUUAAGGGGAGUGAUACGCUUUCGUUUCUUAAGUUAACUAGUUUAUGUUUGAAAAAGGGAAACCCUUUUAAAUUUUUAUAUUAAAGGUUGAUUCAUUUUUUCUUUAAUAGUAAGUGGUUGUGUAAUAAAAUGAGUUGAAAAGGUAAAAAAUUUAUUUGUUUUAUCAUAUAAAAAAUUAAUUAAUAGAUUAGUAGAAUUUUUUUAAAAAUUAUUUUUAUUCUUUUUGUUUUUAUUUAGAAGUUAAAAAUUAUUAUUAUGUACUGAUUUUUUCUUAGACUGGUUAAUAAAAUCUUAGCUAUAGUAUUUAUAGUUAUUUCUGCUCUAUGCAAAUUAUAAGUAAAUGGCUGUUUAUAACACUAAGGUAGCAAAAUCAUUAGUUAUUUAAUUGGUAACUUGUAUGAAUGAAUUUUCUAAGAAGAUAUUAAUUUUGUUUUUGAAUUUAUAAGUUUGUUGAAAAUAACAAUUUUACCUAUAAGACUAAAAGACCCUAAAAUUUUUAUGACAAAAGGUCAUUUGGUUGGGGCAAUAGAGAAAAUACAAUAUUAGAUAAUUUAUUUUUCUUUGAACUUUUUUUAUUGAUAAAAGGUAAAAUACUUUAGGGAUAACAGCUUAAUUAUUUUUUAGAGUUCUUAUUAUUAAAAUAGUUUUAGACCUCGAUGUUGGAUUGGAAUAACUUUUUGGGGCAG